This 231-nucleotide long non-coding RNA is filed under the name Homo sapiens (human). RNAcentral describes it as "HSALNT0291954". The record is from RNAcentral. Lineage: Eukaryota; Metazoa; Chordata; Mammalia; Primates; Hominidae.
GGCUCCAAUCCCACUUUCUACUCUGCCUCAUUUUCUUCUAUCCACGUGGUGCUGUGUAUGCAUGGGUGGAAGGAGUAUUAAUUAGACUAUGCUUAUAGACUGUCCAGCCCCAAAUUCAUAACUUUUACCCCCUAAAGCAUUGAUCUACCCAGUCCCCUGAGGGAGAGAAGCUGACUUCAUCAUCCCCUUUUCUCAGCCAUGGCCUUUGUUUUGUUUUUGUUUUUGUUUUUU